Long non-coding RNA from Gallus gallus (chicken), 1065 nucleotides. RefSeq lists it as uncharacterized. The transcript is spliced from 3 exons. NCBI's taxonomy places the organism in Eukaryota, Metazoa, Chordata, Aves, Galliformes, Phasianidae. The record is from RefSeq and is a predicted model, not a curated record.
UCUGUGGGGAAAGGAGGAGCGGUGAGUGCACGUUCCCAAUCACUGAUCAUAGAGUCAUUGAAUGAUUGGGCUGGGAGGGACCCUAAAGAUCACAGAAUCACAGAAUGGUUGGGUUGGAAGAGUCCUCGAAGAUGGUAGGACCAUACAACAAUAGAACAGGUUGGGAGGAGUCUUAUAGAUCAUAGGGCCGUAGGAUGGGUUGGGUUGGAAGGGACCCUAAAGGUCAUGGAACUAUGGGAUGAGUUGGUUGGAAAGGACAUUGAGUUGGAAGGGACCCUAAAGGUCAUGGAACUAUGGGAUGAGUUGGUUGGAAAGGACAUUGGGUUGGAAGGGACCCUAAAGGUCAUGGAACUAUGGGAUGAGUUGGUUGGAAGGGACAUUGGGUUGGAAGGGACCCUAAAGGUCAUGGAACUAUGGGAUGAGUUGGUUGGAAGGGACAUUGGGUUGGAAGGGACCUUAAAGGACAUGGAGCUGUAGGGUGGUUGGGUUGGAGGGGACCCAUAAGAUCAUAGAACCGUAAAAUCACAGCAUGGUUGGGUUGGAAGGGACCUUAAAGACCCCCAGCCCUGCUGUGGGUUAGCUGCCCCCCACCAGCCCAGGCUGCCCAGGGCCCAUCCAAGGAUGGGGCACCCACAGCUGUCUGGGCCCCCCACACGCUGCCCAUCCCCAUCCGUCGGUUCUUUGGGUCUCCCCCCAGCGGGGCUCCCCGCAGCACUGCUACCUUUGAGAGUUUGUCCUCGGCGGAGUGUUUCUUCUGGAUCUCGUGCUGUAGGGCCACGUAGAUCUUGUCCUGGAGCUUCUGCACCUUCUUGGACUCCGUCAGCCACGGGCGGUCUGCGGGGACAGCCAGGGCACGGACCUCCUCCGGGGAGUACAGGCUCCAGGCCAGGUGCUUCAGCUCCUCUGCUGUGUACUGGCAGGUCUCCAGGACUCUUCCAAUCAACUCAUCCCUCACCGAUCUCAAGGAUGGAGAUGUCCCCAGCCAGCUGGCUGCCCUCCAGUGCACCAUGAGCAAACAGGGCUGGCUCCAGCAUCAGCUCAUAGAUGGAUUCCUGCUUGAUGAGC